Molecule: ribosomal RNA, 107 nt
Filed under: Spiroplasma ixodetis
Lineage: Bacteria; Bacillati; Mycoplasmatota; Mollicutes; Entomoplasmatales; Spiroplasmataceae
Source: RNAcentral
UUUGGUGUCCAUGGCGGAGUGGUCACACCUGUUCCCAUAUCGAACACAGCAGUUAAGCACUCCAGCGGCGAAAAUACCAGCAAUGGGAAAAUAGCACGAUGCCAAAU